RNAcentral lists this ribosomal RNA (492 nucleotides) under uncultured bacterium. RNAcentral describes it as "partial 16S ribosomal RNA". It matches the Rfam family "Bacterial small subunit ribosomal RNA", at positions 29 to 507 of the family's 1533-position model. The record is from RNAcentral.
AUUGAACGCUGGCGGCAUGCUUUACACAUGCAAGUCGAACGGUAACAGGCCUUCGGGUGCUGACGAGUGGCGAACGGGUGAGUAAUGCAUCGGAACGUACCCAGAGGUGGGGGAUAACGCAGCGAAAGCUGUGCUAAUACCGCAUGUGAUCUGAGGAUGAAAGCGGGGGACCGAGCAGCAAUUUUUGGCCUCGCGCCUUUGGAGCGGCCGAUGUCGGAUUAGCUAGUUGGUGGGGUAAAGGCCUACCAAGGCGACGAUCCGUAGCUGGUCUGAGAGGACGAACAGCCACACUGGGACUGAGACACGGCCCAGACUCCUACGGGAGGCAGCAGUGGGGAAUUUUGGACAAAGGGCGCAAGCCUGAUCCAGCAAUGCCGCGUGCGGGAAGAAGGCCUUCGGGUUGUAAACCGCUUUUGGCAGGAACGAAACGGUGUCCGCUAAUACCGGGCGCUAAUGACGGUACCUGCAGAAUAAGCACCGGCUAACUACGUG